Molecule: long non-coding RNA, 1237 nt
Organism: Varroa destructor (honeybee mite)
Lineage: Eukaryota; Metazoa; Arthropoda; Arachnida; Mesostigmata; Varroidae
Source: RefSeq, a predicted model, not a curated record
UUGAAGUGACGACGAAAUGAUCGCCCUUAAAACGUGUCAAACAUACUUCUCGUGAUCAUCUAUAUUCAAUGCCCAUUUGCUCCGCGAUUUCCUCUGAGUAGUCUUCUAGUGCGGUUGCAAUGCUAUAUUAGCAGCGUGACAACAAAAAAAUUUGCUUAACAUCUGUUUUCUUGUGAAUUAAGUCGUUGUUGUUGUUGUAUGUGUCGUUUGUUAAAUGUUUUAGAUCAAGCUACACGAUCGAACUGCUCGCUAUAGUUCAUUGAAUUGAUUAGGCGUGCAAUUGGGUGACGCCUUACCCGGUGGUUAACGACCUGUUUACGUCGGCCUGCGCGGUAAUAACACCGCUUGUAUGGCCAUGUUCACACAUGUGGCCCCGCGUACAGCGAAUGCAUCAACCUGAGGUGCUGAUCCGACUUCAACUGACGAAGGACCUGUCGGAAACGAUCAGUAGCCUUAAUACGAGCUGCACACGAAACACAUCGCGCGGUUUCGGAGUCUGGUUUAACGGUUUUGCAUGUACUGCGUAUCGCAUAGGAGACCCAGCAAAUCUACUUCAGGGAAAGCUGGGUGCUCAUAUGAACUAUCGGUAACCAUUCCCAGUGGCGUUGACUCAAGCAAACGGCAACACUGGUCGACGCUGCAGAGUGCGAAAUCAUCCAGGAAGCAUCCGAACUAAGGUUACGCAUCUGAUCUCAUCAAACAUUUGACUGACGUUUCGUAAUCCAAGUACUUUAAAGCAAGCUCAUUAAAAUUCAUAAGAAGAACAACAGGUGCUUCUAAUGCUGCAAAUUUACGAAACGGUAUUAAAAAAGAGAGUGCGAAAAUCGCAUGGGGUCGUGCAGGUUCCUUCCGGAUUAUCAGCCAGCAGAGGUUUAUCGAAUAUAUAUAUAUAUAUACGAUAAACCGAUAUGAAUUACCGCAAAAGAGGAAGGCUUAGCUCAAUGUGAGUCGGGCCGUCUCCGUCGAUUGGUCUACGAGAGUCGUUUUGAAAGGAGCGGCAGGCAGCGUUAAGCCGUGACCGAAUCGCUCGGAAAUUGCGGUCAAGCGACCUAGCGACGGGUCUGACUAGUCUCGCUCUAUGCCUCUCUCCCUUGUUGUUGAUCCACAACUAGAUCUUCUAUUGGAAAUCAAAAAACCCAUGAGUCUACAAAUUGGCGUACUUGUUAAAAACACUAGAUAUAGAUAACGCUGCAGUUUACGCAAGCAAAAAAUGCUCAUUCUUCAAUAAUAAUAAAUA